GACGAACGCUGGCGGCGUGCUUAACACAUGCCUGUCGAGCGGAAAGGCCCUUCGGGGUACUCGAGCGGCGAACGGGUGAGUAACACGUGAGUAACCUGCCCCAGACUUUGGGAUAACCCUCGGAAACGGGGGCUAAUACCGGAUACGACACAUCUUCGCAUGGGGUCUGUGUGGAAAGUUUUUCGGUUUGGGAUGGGCUCGCGGCCUAUCAGCUUGUUGGUGGGGUGCUGGCCUACGAAGGCGUCGACGGGUAGCCGGCCUGAGAGGGCGACCGGCCACACUGGGAAUGAGACACGGCCCAGAAUCAUACGGGAGGCAGGAGUGGGGAAUAUUGCACAAUGGGCGAAAGCCUGAUGCAGCGACGACGGGUGAGGGAUGACGGACUUCGGGUUGUAAACCUCUUUCAGCAGGGACGAAGCGUAAGUGACGGUACCUGCAGAAGAAGCGCCGGCCAACUACGUG
This 462-nucleotide ribosomal RNA is filed under the name uncultured bacterium. RNAcentral's name for it is "partial 16S ribosomal RNA". It matches the Rfam family "Bacterial small subunit ribosomal RNA", at positions 28 to 507 of the family's 1533-position model. The record is from RNAcentral.